Molecule: long non-coding RNA, 2653 nt
Organism: Vespa crabro (European hornet)
Lineage: Eukaryota; Metazoa; Arthropoda; Insecta; Hymenoptera; Vespidae
Exons: 2
Source: RefSeq, a predicted model, not a curated record
GUCUUACGUUAUUUUCCUCCUCUCUCGCUCUCUCUCUCUCUCUCACUCUCUCUCUCUCUCUCUCGUUUAAUCUGUCCAAAUGAGAGCACUCGUUUUUUUCUCUCUACGAUCAAUCUCGCGAAAUCUUAUAAAAGAGACUACGAACACCUGUGAUGGUUCUUUAGAUUUCUCUCGCGCGUCACCGCGACGAUGCUUUUACGUCCGUCCGUCCAACCGUCCGACCGUACGUUCGUUCGUCCAUCCAUCCAUCCAUCCAUCCAUCCAUCCAUCCAUCCAUCUAGCUAUCCAGUAUCCAUCCAUCCAUCCGUGCAUGCUUGCAUGCAUUCAUGCAUCUAAAUCCUAUUCAUCCAUCCCAUCCAUUCUCAUUCGCGUUCAAGAAACUAUGAAAAUGAGCAAGGGAACAGGCAAGCUAAAACACCUUCCUUGCUAUCUUCUUUUUGCCUACGAAUCCUUACGUGCAUGCAUAUCGCGGAUAUAGUCGAGGGUCGUGCGCGCGUGCCGCCUUAUUCUCCCGCUCCUGCGUCCGUUUCUCUCCCUCUCCACGUUCACAAGCUUUACGUGCGCGUACGCGAAGCGUAGCCUCUCACUCUGCUUAUUCUAUCUCUCUUCUCUUUCUCUCUCUCUCCCUCUCUCUUUCUCUCUCUCUCUCUCUCUCUCUCUCUCUCUCUCUCUCUCUCUCUCUCUCUCUCUCGUCGCCCGCCAAGCUUUCUUACGUUCCGUGAUCUCGCGCGCCGUAUCUUCGUUUAUCGUUCUCUAUAUGCGCACACACACACACACACAUACGCGCACGCGCCGCCCGCCUUCUCCCACACGCAUACGCAUGUAUAUAUACACAUACGUACUUAAUAUAUGUAUAUUUAUAUUUUGUAUUAUUACAUAUAUGUACAUACGUAUGUUGCGUGUAUGUAUAUAUUAUGACUGUGUGCGCGAGCGAGCGCGCCCGCGCACCAGUUAAAAAGCAUGUGUACGCGAAACGAAAUGACGAGAAGACAGACACGAUGAUGGUGAAUGAUGACGAUGACUAUAUGUCGACAAUAUCGGUAGCCUCUGGCGGCGGCGGCGAUAUAAGCGGUGGUGGCGGUAGCCGCUACGACGGUGGCGGUAGUGGCGCGCAACUGAAGAUGCACAAUGCCGGCCGGCAUUUUUAUCCCUAUCUACUUUCUAUGAUAAAGUUCAUUUUUUCAUUACGAUUUCAUAAUACGCGAUUGAACUUUUCAUCAUCGUCGACAAUUCUAAUUAACAGAAAAACUUGCCUCCAUGUUUUCCCUUUUAGAAAAUUAAUGCUAAAAACAUGAAUCGAGAUAAGGGACGCCAUUGUAAUGUCGCGUGGCCGCCACGAGUACGCCACCGAGCUGAUUACUUCUGUUUUCUCUCUCUCUCUCUCUCUCUCUAUAUAUAUAUAUAUAUGUAUGUAUGUAUGUAUGUAUAUAUAUAUUUAUCUAUCCCUUCUUCCAUUCUCGUAAUACUCGAUAAAAGUACAUAUUUUUUAUAUUUUAUUCUUUUUUUCUUUCAUCGUCCCACUAUUUUAAUCAUAAUUUUUAAGACAUGUUAUUCUACGUUUCGACGACGGUACUUAUAGUGCCAUGUGCUUCCCCCUCUUCCCCUUCUUUCCUUCCUCUUUAUCUAGCCACAUUCGUUGACGGAUCUACGUUGCCCAUCAUCGACGCUUCGAAAUAGAACGCGGUUUUUUCCUUAUCUCGAAUGUCUCAUUCCUUUCUAUGUGUAACUUUUCCUUUAUUGACUACGCAAUUUCCUCUAAUAUUCCCAUUGCUUAAGAUAUAAUAUAAAAGUGUACACAUUUUUUUUUCUUCCCAUCUGACGACGACGAUGACGACGACGACGACGCCACCUUCUCGAAGUCUCCCAUUAUGGCGCCCGAAACCAAGCCCGCGUUCGUUUCUCUGUCUUUCUCGCUUUCGUUCUCUAUCCAUUUGUCUUUUUUCUUCUUCCGUGCCACUCCCCUCCUACCUUAACGUAGCUUGGCUGUUCUCUCUUUCUAUCAUUCUCCCUCCGCCUACUGCUCGUCAUUCUCACGUUCUUUCUCCCUCCCUCUCGCUGUCGUAAUUGAUCGAUAAUUCGUCGUAAGCGGGUUAAUCGUGUCCGGCGAAUAGGACCGAUCGAUAGGGCAACGCUUAUAUAUCCCUUUGACCGACACGUUCCUUUGAAAUUGUUAACAGUUUUAAUUGUAUAAAUAUCGCGCCAAGGGAUUUCUCUGUACCUCUCUUCGUUUCUCUUUCAUUCUUUCUUUUCUCUCUCAAACCUACACACACACAUACUCUCAAGUCACGCAAAGAGCGAACGAAUGAGAGAGAUAGAGAGAAUAGACUACGCACCGCGUCGCGCUCUAGCUUGCUUGUACACAUCUCUUCGUAAUAUCUAACAUUCGCCGCGUCCUUUUUCCCUCGCCAAUGAAAACCCCACGCGCGCGCGACUAGCGGCAAAGCCGUGCAUUAUAAUACCCCCGUGUGUUUCUCUUGUCUCCCUGUCUCUCUUUCGCGAAGUAACCGUGCCAGCAACUAGACGACGUCGACGAACAACGCUGAAGAAGAAGACGGCGACAUCGUUAUAUGAACUUUCGAGAAAACAUCGAACAGUUAAUUGAUCGCAAUACACUACUUUCGUCUUUCGUCUACUGAAGCUUUGGAAAAUAACG